RNAcentral lists this long non-coding RNA (344 nucleotides) under Homo sapiens (human). Its description in RNAcentral is "non-protein coding lnc-TIMP4-3:1". Lineage: Eukaryota; Metazoa; Chordata; Mammalia; Primates; Hominidae. The record is from RNAcentral.
GGAUUUGUACACUGACUCCCACUAUUUUCAGGUUGCAUACCCAACUCAACCUGAGCCAAAAUUCAUUUUACAAUUCUGUCUGUAGGUGUUAACUUUCUUCCCACGAUGUUUCCUUGGUUUAUCAGGAUAUUCCUACUGCCCUGAUGCAUAUACAAUGUGAAACACUGUUUCAUCUAUAGGCUCAUUUAUUUCAUUAAUAGUAAUUUUAAUAAUUUUCAUAAUCUGAGAAGGCUUCACUUCAAAAUGAGAAGUCUCAGUAGUAGAACCUUUCAAUCACAAAUUUUGAAUGACUUCAUGGCUGCCCAUCACCAUAUCAUACAUUUGAAGGACCCACUUACAUAAAU